CCUACGGGAGGCAGCAGUGAGGAAUAUUGGACAAUGGGCGCAAGCCUGAUCCAGCCAUGCCGCGUGCAGGAAGAAGCAUCUAUGGUGUGUAAACUGCUUUUGUACAGGAAGAAACACUCCCUCGUGAGGGAGCUUGACGGUACUGUAAGAAUAAGGACCGGCUAACUCCGUGCCAGCAGCCGCGGUAAUACGGAGGGUCCGAGCGUUAUCCGGAAUCAUUGGGUUUAAAGGGUCCGUAGGCGGUUUAAUAAGUCAGUGGUGAAAUCUGGUCGCUCAACGAUCAAACGGCCAUUGAUACUGUUAGACUUGAAUUAUAAGGAAGUAACUAGAAUAUGUAGUGUAGCGGUGAAAUGCUUAGAUAUUACAUGGAAUACCAAUUGCGAAGGCAGGUUACUACUUAUGAUUGACGCUGAUGGACGAAAGCGUGGGGAGCGAACAGGAUUAGAUACCCUGGUAGUCCACGCCGUAAACGAUGGAUACUAGCUGUUCGGAGCAAUCUGAUGGCCUAAGCGAAAGUGAUAAGUAUCCCNCCGNGGAGUAAGUGUGAGAGUAGAGAGAAGAAGUUAGNGNGNGAGAGNGCGAGACGACGACGAGGGAGGAGG
Molecule: ribosomal RNA, 602 nt
Filed under: uncultured bacterium
Lineage: Bacteria
Description: bacterial SSU rRNA
Rfam family: Bacterial small subunit ribosomal RNA (bases 1-532)
Source: RNAcentral